AAACUGCCCCUUCCUCGAGGGUCUGUAUAUCACAGAGCCAAAGACAAUUCAGGAACUGCUGUGCAGCCCCUCAAAGUACCGCUUGGAGAUCCUAGAGUGGAUGUGUACCCGGGUCUGGCCCUCACUGCAGGACAGGUUCAGCUCACUGAAAGGGGUCCCAACAGAGGUGAAGAUCCAAGAAAUGACGAAGCUGGGCCAUGAGCUGAUGCUGUGUGCGCCAGAUGACCAGGAGCUCCUCAAGGUAAGAGGGCCUCUGUCUGCUCUGCAGACGGCACGCACGCUUUCUGCCCUGGGCAGGGAACCUCAUGGUGCCAGCUGAGGUGGGAGGAUUUUCCUCCCCUAGUGCCUUUGAGGUUCCUCAGGCCCUGGGGCCGGCUGGGUGCCCGGGCAGGCUGCUUCUCUAGGCAUCCCUGGGGCCAGAACUGCUGGGAUUCUCUUGGGUAGAACCUGGUUGUCCCUGGGGUGCAGGGGAGAGGGCAGCCAUGCGGGGAGGGGCAGAUCUCUGGCUUCUGAUGACCAGUGGGAUGGAAAGUGUCCUGUCCUUGGUUGAUGACUUCAUUCUUCAUUCAUCCCGGCGCCUGGCUCCCAAGCCCUUGUGGCCCGAGAGUUUCUCCCGAGGUCCCUCAUCUACCCUGCGGUAGGUCAAAGAAACUCCAGCACCCACCUUAUCGUUUCUAAAUUUUGAAAUAAUUGUUUUCACUCGAUGAUUAUGAGUAACACUACUGUAAACAUUCUUGCAUAUGAUUUUUGACUGAACACGUUUUCUUUUUUUUAUAUCUGAA
This 782-nucleotide long non-coding RNA is filed under the name Pan troglodytes (chimpanzee). Its description in RNAcentral is "long non-coding RNA NONPTRT018557". The record is from RNAcentral. Lineage: Eukaryota; Metazoa; Chordata; Mammalia; Primates; Hominidae.